RNAcentral lists this ribosomal RNA (229 nucleotides) under uncultured bacterium. RNAcentral's name for it is "partial 16S ribosomal RNA". It matches the Rfam family "Bacterial small subunit ribosomal RNA", at positions 103 to 334 of the family's 1533-position model. The record is from RNAcentral.
CGGGUGAGUAAUGUAUGGGGAUCUGCCUGAUGGCGGGGGAGUAACUACUGGAAACGGUAGCUAAUACCGCAUAAUGUCUGCGGACCAAAGAGGGGGACCCCCGGGCCUCGCGCCAUCAGAUGAACCCAUAUGGGAUUAGCUUGUAGGUAAGGUAACGGCUUACCUAGGCGACGAUCCCUAGCUGGUCUGAGAGGAUGAUCAGCCACACUGGGACUGAGACACGGCCCAG